Molecule: transfer RNA, 68 nt
Filed under: Marmota monax (woodchuck)
Lineage: Eukaryota; Metazoa; Chordata; Mammalia; Rodentia; Sciuridae
Description: tRNA.Ala
Source: RNAcentral
GGAUUGUGGCUCAGUGGUAGAGUGCUUGCCUAGCACAUAUGAGGCACUGGGUUCAAACCUCAGCACCA